Molecule: transfer RNA, 66 nt
Filed under: Gonepteryx rhamni (common brimstone butterfly)
Lineage: Eukaryota; Metazoa; Arthropoda; Insecta; Lepidoptera; Pieridae
Description: tRNA-Cys
Source: RNAcentral
AGCCUUAUAUUCAUUUAUGAUAUAAAAUUGCAAAUUUUAAGGUGUAAAAAUAAAUUACUAAGGCUU